Molecule: unclassified non-coding RNA, 200 nt
Filed under: soil metagenome
Description: partial contains internal transcribed spacer 2 and large subunit ribosomal RNA
Source: RNAcentral
AUGCCUGUUCGAGCGUCAUUAUGACCAAUCCCGCAAGGUCUUGGGGCUCGCCUCUCCUGGCGGCUCUUAAAAUCAGUGGCGGCGCAUCGUGCUCUAAGCGUAGUAAUACUCCUCGCUACAGAUCCACGGUGGAUGCUUGCCAGCAACCCUCAACUCAAUAGGUUGACCUCGGAUCAGGUAGGGAUACCCGCUGAACUUAA